GGGGAGGAGGGAAGGAUUGCAUUGGGAGUUAUACCUGAUGUAAAUGAUGAGCUGAUGGGUGCCGACGAGUUGAUGGGUGCAGCACACCAACAUGACACAAGUAUACAUAUGUAACAAACCUGCACGUUAUGCACAUGUACCCUAGAACUUAAAGUAUAAUAAUAAUAAAAAAAGAAAUAAAAAGCAAAAGUGAGGCACAGAUGAGAUGAGAGGUGCUUAUAUGAAAUCUCUUAUGUGAAUUUGUUUUAAGGUGACUUAAUUGAAACUCUGACUCUCUUCUUUUGACCCCUCAGCCUGAACAAUCCAUCAGCAACCCAUGAGCCAGCAGAACAAAAGAUGACAGAACUGGGGCUGGCAGAGCAAGUUAUUUGACAAGAAAUCUUAGAGUCCUCACUUUCUGGGAGCUCAGAGAAAGAUGUUGGAAGGAGAUCAUGGUACCACACGAACUUAUCUAAAAAUGAAGACGGUGGCGUGAGCUGGUACAGUCAGCCUGUACCCCAAAACCUCUACCCCAAAAUCUCUGAAUCUGUUUUUGACAGGACACAAACUUCCUGAGGACUUCCUUGUCAUUGAAGGUCCCUACAGUGUAAACCAUGAUCCUUUGUAUUUGGUUAAGUGGUCCAUGAACUUCCUUAUUUCCUUGAAUUGAGCAUCUUGGAUACUUAGAACUGUACCCUCUCCACAAAAACAAAUGAACAAACAACCUAAUUAUAGAGAUUUCUAAUCUAGCGGUUGGCAGAUUAUGCUGUGUAUGUGAUUUUGUUCCCGUUUAACUUUACUAUCUGAUUUCCUUCUGAAGCAUCCCUCAUUAUUCUGUAAUAUCUUUUAAAUCGCCAUGUCUCUGUGGAGUGUCAUCAAUUAGCAAAAUAUUAUGUCAGCUGAUAACAGCUUG
RNAcentral lists this long non-coding RNA (892 nucleotides) under Macaca fascicularis (crab-eating macaque). RNAcentral's name for it is "lncRNA (ENSMFAG00000057926.1)". Lineage: Eukaryota; Metazoa; Chordata; Mammalia; Primates; Cercopithecidae. The record is from RNAcentral.